UUACGGUUAAAUCACGCUGAAAACACCGUUUCUCGUUCGAUCACCGAAGUUAAGCAUCGUAGAGCCAGGUCAGUACUUAGAUGGGGGACCGCUUGGAAACACCUGGUACUGUAAG
RNAcentral lists this ribosomal RNA (115 nucleotides) under Acanthosepion pharaonis. The record is from RNAcentral. Lineage: Eukaryota; Metazoa; Mollusca; Cephalopoda; Sepiida; Sepiidae.